AGUGAACGCUGGCGGUAGGCCUAACACAUGCAAGUCGAACGGCAGCACAGUAAGAGCUUGCUCUUACGGGUGGCGAGUGGCGGACGGGUGAGGAAUACAUCGGAAUCUACUUUUUCGUGGGGGAUAACGUAGGGAGACUUACGCUAAUACCGCAUACGACCUACGGGUGAAAGCAUGGGAUCUUCGGACCUUGCGCGAUUGAAUGAGCCGAUGUCGGAUUAGCUAGUUGGCGGGGUAAAGGCCCACCAAGGCGACGAUCCGUAGCUGGUCUGAGGGGAUGAGCAGCCACACUGGAACUGAGAAACGGUCCAGACUCCUACGGGAGGCAGCAGUGGGGAAUAUUGGACAAUGGGCGCAAGCCUGAUCCAGCCAUACCGCGUGGGUGAAGAAGGCCUUCGGGUUGUAAAGCCCUUUUGUUGGGAAAGAAAAGCAGCAGGUUAAUACCCCGCUGUUCUGACGGUACCCAAAGAAUAAGCACCGGCUAACUUCGUG
This 492-nucleotide ribosomal RNA is filed under the name uncultured bacterium. RNAcentral describes it as "partial 16S ribosomal RNA". It matches the Rfam family "Bacterial small subunit ribosomal RNA", at positions 29 to 507 of the family's 1533-position model. The record is from RNAcentral.